Molecule: long non-coding RNA, 369 nt
Filed under: Carassius auratus (goldfish)
Lineage: Eukaryota; Metazoa; Chordata; Actinopteri; Cypriniformes; Cyprinidae
Description: lncRNA (ENSCARG00000051710.1)
Source: RNAcentral
AUGACCUGCUGCUACACAGAGAGGCUGUGUGUGUGCCAGAGAGUUGUAGCUCUGAGGACGCUUCUGCAGGUAGUGAACGUGUGCCAGGAAGUGCCGCAAUACUUACAGCUCACAGACCCAAGGAAACCACAGCUUUGCUUUGUCCUUUUGCAGAGGCAGCAGUCUCUGCUCUCUGAAGAUGAGGAGUACACUACAGGGUCAGAGGUCACAGAGGAUGAGAUCGGAGAUGAAGAAGACACAUCGAAAAAACAAGCUACAAAGAAAAGUUUGUUCUAUCCUGUUGUUUUAAAGGCACCAUCUGGAGACUCAACCCCGUUCAUCAUCAGCAUCCAGAAGAAUAAAUUAAGUGGGAUAGCAAUCGCUCCAUAA